This is a long non-coding RNA of Zeugodacus cucurbitae (melon fly), 1494 nucleotides long. RefSeq lists it as uncharacterized. NCBI's taxonomy places the organism in Eukaryota, Metazoa, Arthropoda, Insecta, Diptera, Tephritidae. The transcript is spliced from 2 exons. The record is from RefSeq and is a predicted model, not a curated record.
UAGAGUCCCCAGCAUGUUUUUUUUUCAGUUUAGAAGUAUUAUUCGAUAUUUAUUGGUUAAAUACUAUGAAGGCUAUAUAUACUUAAUCAUAACUGUUGACUUCGGGCGCUCCAAGAAGUUAUUAAAUCUUUAGAGAAGAUCCCUAGAAUAUCAGGGAUUUAAGAAUUUAAAAUUGGGCAAACAAUUUUUGUAAAUAGAGUGUCUUUUCAGAGUUAUAGAAUUACUCGGAAGCAUAGGUUUGACAUUCAAGUUCAGAAAUCAUCUCCUCUAUACCAUAUUUGCAAGGAAUCGAAGACUCGACUCGAAGAAGAAAACAAUUUAUUUAGAAAGCAAUUUAAUUUUAAAAUUCGGGCGUAUUAAUAUUGAUCCUCUUCUUUUUCUUGACUGGUGUAGACACCGCUUACGCGGUUAUAGCCGAGUCCAUAACAGCGCGCCACGCAUCUCUCCUUUUGGCAACUUGGCGCCAAUUGGUAAUAUCAAGUGAAUACAGGUCCUUCUUCACCUGGUCCUUCCAUCGGAGUGGAUAUUGAUCCUCCAUUCAUAUUGAUCCACAUUUCUUAAAAACUCAAGGUGUAGCGAACGAUGCCCUCAAAGCAAGAUUAUCAACAGGGCCCUGAUACGCACGAACUCAUAUUUUAUUCCUCAUGUGGACGAUCUUUGAAAUGGGUCUAACCAUUACUCCCUUAAGUCAUGUGAUUUGAUUAUAGGUUAGGUUAAACUGCUUGUGGUGGAUUUGUUGUUGUAGUAGUGACGGAACUCAUUCCUAAAACAAUUCUGACGAAAAUUGCCGAGUCCUUGGACGGAUGAAAAUCCCGAAGGUAUCCGUUCCGAUUUCGUAGGCCCGACCUCGUUGUUGUGGUGACGUGGUGUGUUCGUCUUAUAAACAAGCUUCGAGUCAUCGCUUGGUUUCCCUGCUGGAGUGAUGGACGGAAAUGAUUCCUACAAGACUUAGUCGCGAUUUUCAUGUAGAAAAUUCUAUUCUGAAUAUCAAUGGUUCAAUUGCUGUGCUGGGCAAUGCAGUAAGACAUAUAAAACCUGAGAGCAGCACUGCUUCGGUCGUACUUUUGAUGGUGACCGAAUCGUAUAGUAAGUAAUGGACCUGGAAAUCCUACAAUAAAUGAGGCAUCUAGAUGAAACUGGAAUCUUAGAUUGUUCCUGGUUGUCUGUCCACAAAAGCUCUUCAGUCGUUUCGCGAAAGUCAUUGUCAAGUUUCUCACCACGUGCAAUUUGCAAUACAGAGGAGUUCUUACUCACUUUCUACUACCAUUAGAUGUUGGAUCCUUUAAGAGCCGCAGAGUUUGGAACCAUCGGAAAUAACAUUUGGUGCUCAAAAGUGGAUUACUUCUAUAUUUUCCUAAAAAGCAUAAUUUUCUAAAUAAUUCCGUUUUUUAAAAGAAGCGUUAAAAUUCAAAUUUAUGAUUCCUGAACUCAAAUAAUUGAUUUUUGUUCAGAAUUUCUUUGGUAUCAUAAUAAAUAAUAAAUUUUUAAGAUUUA